AGAAAAAGCUGCUUCUGAUCAUCUGUGUAGAGAUCAAGUGCAGGAAAAGGGCAUCCAAAAGACCAAGGACGUGUAAGAUUCAAAGCUCCCAUCCAAAGGCAGAAACACCACCAAAUUUUUGAUGUGGUUUACUACUCUUUUGUGGGAUCCUACUCCAUGACAGCCAAACAGCCAGGAGAUGAGGUGCUGUUUGCAGAUGUGGCCAGAAGAAAGAAAAGGACACAAUAGAGGCUGCAGAAAAGAGAUGGAAGAGAUUCAGCAAAUAUAAUGAAAUAUCUGCUCAGAAGGGGCAGAAACAAAGAAAAAUUAAAUGUUACAAGAGCUGAAAAAGAAAGGGACAGCUUUUUGCUGGUAAAGAGCAUGAGUAAUUAGGUUAUCCUACAUAAUCUGUGGAGAAGACUGGGAAUCCCAGAAGGAGAUAAUGACACUACCAGAUCAUGGCUGGAAUGCAGCCUGUAGGAGAUUGAAAUUUCUGGAAAAGAGAUCUUUCAAAGAAAUAUUUCUUCCUGCUUAUGAGAAGGGGAUCUUCCUCCUGUCACCAGAAUUUUCAUCAAGACAAUUAUCUGUUGCUAGGUCUCAUGCAGCUGCACCUAUCAAGCCUGAAAAGAAGAAACCUAGAAAUAGCAACAUCCAUGGACAAGCUGAGGUGCAUGCCACAGCCAGAUGUGGAGACCAGCAUGUCAUAAAGACCCAGAAAUGAUUCUUGCAGCAAGUAUAAAUGCUGCAGGAUUUCUUGCUGUUGGAUGUGUUAGACUUACUGUAGCCUCCAUCCGAGCUUAUUUCUGGUACAAAUGUUUUCCAGUGAUGAUUAGAGGUAUCUGUGACACACAGGUGGUAUUCUGCAAAAAAAAGAGCUGGAAAGCCCACAAGCCUACGAGCUCAGCUGACAUGGGUAAGGCACAUCAUCUUCUAUAGCCUGAGGCACAAACAAGGAUGAUGUGGCUGGUAUUGCGUGAAGCAUUUCCCCUGCCCUGCCAAAUGACCAAAGACCUGCUAACAGUUGGAUCAGUAGAGAAAUGGCUUUCACGGGAGCCAAAAAAAAAGGCUAAAAUGUGUCUGUUAAUGUGGUGAGACAAUCUGCUGGGGUCCCUGAAACGAAGAUGAGUGACAGCCCUCGUGUGAAAAGACAGUUGAGAUUUUCUCCUCCUGCAGAGGAAAAAUUGCUGGAGUUAUGUGAAACCUGCCCCCACUCCAUCAGCACUUCGAGUUUUUACAAACUUAUAAAAGCUGUUAGCACCCCCUGCUAUUUCAGACCCCCAUAGGGGGAAAGAAAAAUAGGAUGAAGUCGUUCAACCUCCUCACUCUCCUGCUCGGUGUUCCUGAAAUUUAAAAUGCCUUCCUUUUCAGGGAGGGGUGCCCAGAGGAGACACAAUUGCUACCUGAGCUGCAAAGGUUUGCCUGGAGGCAGGACAGUGUAACACUGCAGGGUGAGGAUCCUGAGGCUGGAUGAAGAACUUGGUCAUUCUAUUACAGGAUAUGUGGAGAUGGGGGAAUAUGCCUUACUGCAAGGCUGAGGAUAAACAGAAGCUUAGAACAAGGCCUAUAGUGGUAUGGGCAUGGGUAUGGCACAGCAUCCCUGCUGUGAGCCCUGCCAGGGCUCCCUCCUGUAAAAAUCCCUGCAACAAAAUGCUCACUGGGGAUAUUUAAG
Long non-coding RNA from Pipra filicauda (Wire-tailed manakin), 1648 nucleotides. RefSeq lists it as uncharacterized. The record is from RefSeq and is a predicted model, not a curated record. NCBI's taxonomy places the organism in Eukaryota, Metazoa, Chordata, Aves, Passeriformes, Pipridae. The transcript has 3 exons.